UACGGAGGGGGCUAGCGUUGUUCGGAAUUACUGGGCGUAAAGGGCGCGUAGGCGGCGUCGUAAGUCAGGCGUGAAAGGCCAGGGCUCAACCCUGGAACUGCGCUUGAUACUGCGGCUCUCGAGUGCGGGAGAGGAUGGCGGAAUUCCCAGUGUAGAGGUGAAAUUCGUAGAUAUUGGGAAGAACACCGGUGGCGAAGGCGGCCAUCUGGACCGGAACUGACGCUAAGGCGCGAAAGCGUGGGGAGCAAACAGG
RNAcentral lists this ribosomal RNA (253 nucleotides) under uncultured bacterium. Its description in RNAcentral is "partial 16S ribosomal RNA". It matches the Rfam family "Bacterial small subunit ribosomal RNA", at positions 524 to 776 of the family's 1533-position model. The record is from RNAcentral.